This 24-nucleotide unclassified non-coding RNA is filed under the name Mus musculus (house mouse). RNAcentral's name for it is "oocyte_clustered_small_RNA13027". The record is from RNAcentral. Lineage: Eukaryota; Metazoa; Chordata; Mammalia; Rodentia; Muridae.
UGGAAGAUGGGGUUGCUUCUGGGU